This 253-nucleotide ribosomal RNA is filed under the name uncultured bacterium. Its description in RNAcentral is "partial 16S ribosomal RNA". It matches the Rfam family "Bacterial small subunit ribosomal RNA", at positions 524 to 776 of the family's 1533-position model. The record is from RNAcentral.
UACGAAGGGGGCAAGCGUUGUUCGGAAUUACUGGGCGUAAAGGGCGCGUAGGCGGCUUACCAAGUCAGGCGUGAAAUUCCCGGGCUCAACCUGGGGGCUGCGCUUGAUACUGGUGAGCUUGAAUGCGGGAGAGGAUAGUGGAAUUCCCGGUGUAGAGGUGAAAUUCGUAGAUAUUGGGAAGAACACCGGUGGCGAAGGCGGCUAUCUGGCCCGUAAUUGACGCUGAGGCGCGAAAGCGUGGGGAGCAAACAGG